AUUCCAUGAUGACGUUCAUAAUAGUUCUUUAAACCUUUCCCACGCCUCAUAAAAGGAAUCAUCAUCCAUCUGUUGAAAGGUAGUGAUCUCGUUCCGUAACU
Molecule: non-coding RNA, 101 nt
Organism: Gossypium raimondii (Peruvian cotton)
Lineage: Eukaryota; Viridiplantae; Streptophyta; Magnoliopsida; Malvales; Malvaceae
Source: Rfam